Molecule: transfer RNA, 73 nt
Filed under: Camelus bactrianus (Bactrian camel)
Lineage: Eukaryota; Metazoa; Chordata; Mammalia; Artiodactyla; Camelidae
Also listed under: 1 other name
Rfam family: tRNA
About the family: Transfer RNA (tRNA) molecules are approximately 80 nucleotides in length. Their secondary structure includes four short double-helical elements and three loops (D, anti-codon, and T loops).
Source: Rfam by way of RNAcentral
AGAGGUAUAAUUCAAGUGGUAGAGCGCAUGCUUAGCGUGCAUGAGGUCCAAGGUUCAAUCCCCAGUACCUCCU